UUGGAGGGCAAGUCUGGUGCCAGCAGCCGCGGUAAUUCCAGCUCCAAUAGCGUAUAUUAAAGUUGUUGCAGUUAAAAAGCUCGUAGUUGAAUUUCGGGAUUGACACAUCGGUCGUGCCUUAAGGGGCAUGAACUGGUGUAGUCAAUUUCUCACCUUCUGGAGAACCGCGAUGCCCUUAAUUGGGUGUCGCGGGGAACCAGGACCUUUACUUUGAAAAAAUUAGAGUGUUUAAAGCAGGCAUUUUGCUUGAAUACAUUAGCAUGGAAUAAUAAAAUAGGACGGCAUGAUUCUAUUUUGUUGGUUUCUAGGAUCACCGUAAUGAUUAAUAGGGAUAGUUGGGGGCAUUAGUAUUCAAUUGUCAGAGGUGAAAUUCUUGGAUUUAUUGAAGACUAACUACUGCGAAAGCAUUUGCCAAGGAUGUUUUCAUUAAUCAAGAACGAAAGUUAGGGGAUCGAAGACGAUCAGAUACCGUCGUAGUCUUAACCAUAAACUAUGCCGACUAGGAAUCAGACGAUGUUAAUUUUUUAAUGACUCGUUUGGCACCUUACGGGAAACCAAAGUGUUUGGGUUC
Molecule: ribosomal RNA, 571 nt
Filed under: uncultured Glomeromycotina
Lineage: Eukaryota; Fungi; Glomeromycota
Description: SSU rRNA
Rfam family: Eukaryotic small subunit ribosomal RNA
Source: RNAcentral